Molecule: ribosomal RNA, 314 nt
Filed under: uncultured Veillonellaceae bacterium
Lineage: Bacteria; Bacillati; Bacillota; Negativicutes; Veillonellales; Veillonellaceae
Description: bacterial SSU rRNA
Rfam family: Bacterial small subunit ribosomal RNA
Source: RNAcentral
UGGGGGAAUCUUCCGCAAUGGGCGAAAGCCUGACGGAGCAACGCCGCGUGAGUGAAGAAGGUCUUCGGAUCGUAAAGCUCUGUUGAGAGGGACGAGAGAUUACUUCAGGAAAUGGGAGUAAGAGGACGGUACCUUUCGAGGAAGCCACGGCUAACUACGUGCCAGCAGCCGCGGUAAUACGUAGGUGGCGAGCGUUGUCCGGAAUUAUUGGGCGUAAAGGGAGCGCAGGUGGGACUUCAAGUCAGUCUUAAAAGUGCGGGGCUCAACCCCGUGAUGGGAUUGAAACUGUAGUUCUUGAGUGCAGGAGAGGAAAG